GGGCUUGUAGCUCAGUUGGUUAGAGCAGCAGACUCAUAAUCUGAAAGUCGUAGGUUCAAACCCUUCCUGGCCCA
This 74-nucleotide transfer RNA is filed under the name Caudoviricetes sp. RNAcentral's name for it is "tRNA-Met". It matches the Rfam family "tRNA". Rfam says of the family: Transfer RNA (tRNA) molecules are approximately 80 nucleotides in length. Lineage: Duplodnaviria; Heunggongvirae; Uroviricota; Caudoviricetes. The record is from RNAcentral.